GCUUCAAUGUCAGUGGCUGACUUCUCAUCUUAGUGGCAUUUGAACAGGCAGCCGGGACCUGUCUCUCAGGAGCUGCGAACAGGGACUCAGCACAGAGAAGAGGGCAGCAGCAGGUAGAACAUUGUGGUCUGGUAGCAGUGCUAACUGUUCUCUCUAAGAGAGUUCCUGGUGGUGAUGAUGGGUGUCUGGCAUGGUCCUGUAGCCCAUGUGGAGGGCACUGAGUAUGUGCUGCAGAUUUGAUGGCCCACCCGGCUCUGAGUCCACAAAGGGCCUUGAGAGGAGGUGACAGACACCUCAGAAACCAAUGACCCUGACUGCAGGCUUUAAGGCCAGAGGGGCAUUCCUAUGCUCCCCCUCUCAGGUGCUUAGCAAGUAGGUUGAGGUUUACCUGGCCAGGUCCUAAUUUUUGCACAGUAAUUAUGCCCUCCAAAGCUGGACUGCUAAUUGCUUUUGCUAUUUCUGGACUCUGCCCCUCCUGAUAUGUCCUGCUGUUGGAGACAGAAAUAACCUGGCACUUGGCGGGUAAUUAUCACGGAGUGCUUCCAGAGUCAGCACACACUGAGCUGCAGCUGUGGAUCCCUGACUCAGCAUGUGAUGCUUGGCCAGGAUCAUGGGGAUGCCUGGCCCUGAUGGGCAGCAUCUCAUGGCUUUGGAGCCUCGCCUCCUUCAGGGAGCAUUCUCCUGCUUCCUCCUGCACCGAGUGUGUGUUGAAGCCCCCCUCUCUUUAGGUCCUCUUGACCUUGUUUGUAUAUCAUUGUCUUGCAGGAAGCAGGGACUUGAUGAAAGGAAGGAAGGAAGGAAGGAAGGAAGACCUUCAAUUUCUAGGUCUAGAUUCCUCCAAUUUAAUAACUAGGUUCCAGUUGUAGCUUUAAAAAUUUUUUUUUCACUAGUUUUCAUGGUCUUUGGAGAGAAAAAAGAAGUCCAAAUAUGGUUUAGGUGUAGAUGUUCCCUAAAGCCUUAUGUGCUCGUAGGUGGGGCUUUGGAAAGUGAUGGGUGGGAUUGUGGGAGCUGAUGCUUAUCAGUGGAUUAAUCCACUGGUGAGUCUGUAACUGACUUAUUGUUAGGGGAUGGGAUCUGGUUGGAAGAGAGGGGUCACUGGGGUGUGGCCCAGAAGAAUUUAUCUGUUCCCCACUCUUCCUUCACUCUCUCUGUUUCUCACCACCAUGCCAUGACCUGCUUCCCUUAUGCCAUGCCGCUCUGCCUUGGAGCCAGCUGACUAUGGUCUGAAACCUCUACAAGCUGUGAGCCAAGAUGAGAAAACCAAGACCAGAGAGAAGCAGGGAGUAUGUAAAGCCACAUCUGCCUAUUGACAGAACUGAGUUAAAAUCUUGGGUUUGUACUCUCAAGCCCAGGGACAAUCUUUAUCACCUGUGCUGAUGCUGCAAGCCUGGGAAAGGCAGAGGCAGAAUGCAUGUGGCCUUGGGCUUCUGCUGACACCGAGCCACAGUAAGAACACAGCAGGUCUGGGGUCCUGGGUGUCUGCAAGGAGGAAUUUGCAAUGGGGUUUCAGGGUGCAAGUGAAACUGUCUUGGUUGUAGCGUGUAAGUCAAGGAAGCUCAGUGCUUCUUCUCCUCUGUUUUCUGCAACAUUGACAUAGGCUGAGCUCAGAUGCAAACGAUGAAACCAAAGCCUACCUAUGGGCCUGUGCAGGGAUUAUCCUUGCCUUCCAGAAAUCCCCCAAGGACUCAAUUUUUAUUCUGGUUCUUUUCCCAAGUUUGUUCUUAUGCACCUUGAAGCAAAAGUCUGAGGCCAGGUAGGAACAGAGAGCCUAAAAAGAUUAUCUCCAGGACCUGUCCUUGUUCAUAAAUGCUAUACUUUUCAUUCUCCACCCCCUCCUCAGCUUCCCAGCCUCCAUCCAAAUCUGAGAUCCCGGUAGAAAGAUGCCAGCUGGCCAGUCCCCGUCACUGACUGAAACAACCAGGGAAAACCAGUGUGCUGUAUAGUUCAAGUCUCCUUUGGAACUGGUAGGGUCGCUUUCCUUUUUGGAACUGGCAGGUACUGCCUACCAGACCUACACAAAUCAUUCCAGAGACCAUAGGGAUCAGAGAUAUGAGAGUGAGGGAUGUUUUUCUUCCUAGGAAGACAGUAAUUGUGAAUUUGUCACCAACAGUGAUGUAGUGGUAAGCAAUUAAUUCUGGGGGACUCCCUGCCUGUUGACAUGUGUGGCUCCUGCCCUGAGCAGCUCCCCUUGCUUAGAAGGCUCCUAUCCUCCUUUUCAGUAGACAAACUAAUUUGUUUUAGACUCAGUUCCCUAGGGACAAAGGUGACUCCUUCAGCCAAGGGUCUAAUUUUGGUGAAUUGUCUUGCAAGGUAAGGAGAAGAGAGACAGAGAAAAUAUUAGCAGUGGCUUACCCUUGUACAGAGCUUCCUACACCCAAGCAUGAUUCAGAUGCAUGCCCAUACUCCAGGGAGGUAUCAUUACUGUUCCUACUUUGGAAGUGGGGAUACCAAGGUACAGAGGGGCUACUCAGAUGGCCCACGGUCACACAGCCCAAAGUGGCAGAGCAGCAUUCAAAUCCAGGCAGUGCUGCUCUAAGUGUGUUGUCCUUAUCAUGGUUCUGCACAGCUCUCCACCAGGUACCUGAGAGCAGAUGGGAGUGUGCUGGAAUUGGACAGACAGUCCAGGGCCGGGUCAUCUUCAUGAUGUGUGCACCCUCAGGGCCACUGAGGGAUAUGUUCGGGAGGCUGAUGGAGCAGAGGUAGGCUGAGGGACAUCUCCAAGGACACUCCACAAUGAAGCUAUGUGAACCUGCCAUCCCCUGCCAGUCUCUCUGACAUUUUCUGUCACUUGUGUUUGUCUUGGCAAAAACAGCUAGCCUUACUGAGGUUAUUGGAGACUGCAGAGCCAGCAGUGAGCUGAGAUUCUGGAAGAGAGCCAGUUUGGUUAAAAGCUGCCCCUGUGAGCCUUUGGGGACCUCUGGCUCUUUCUGACCUUGCAUAACAGUGUUUAGGUGGUGUCAGAGGGCCUCUGUGCUGAGGAACAAGCAUUGGGAGAUUUCCAUAGUAUUUGAGGAUAAGUUAGGAGGAUAGAAGGGUCUGUCAGUGUGCUGUGCUUUUGUGGAUUUGUACAAUUUUCCAUCAUCUAUCUACCUCUGUUUCCACCACAGCGAGAGGGGCCACAGCAAAAUGGUUAAGAACUUUGACUCUUCAUUCAAGCCAACUGAGUUUAAACCCCACCUUUUGUUGUCAUGGGCUGAGCGAUUUGCAGCCAGUUGCUAACUUCUUUGUGCCAUGUUUUCCCCUAUGGAGAAAUGGGAUAGAAGGAGAGCCUCCUCGGAUCCUGGAAAGACUGGGGAGAGAUGUGGUGUGCCACUAGGACACUCACAGACAUGAGAGUGGUGUCCUGCCCACUUCUCAUCUGGGCCUGGGGCUUGCCACCAUUAACUACUACCAGUGAGCUACACACACUGGAUUUUAAACACCGUCAUUGAUGCUCAUUUUUCUGCCUAUUUUAAUU
Long non-coding RNA from Heterocephalus glaber (naked mole-rat), 3457 nucleotides. RefSeq lists it as uncharacterized. The record is from RefSeq and is a predicted model, not a curated record. Lineage: Eukaryota; Metazoa; Chordata; Mammalia; Rodentia; Bathyergidae.